GUAGGUGGCAAGCGUUGUCCGGAAUUAUUGGGCGUAAAGCGCGCGCAGGCGGUUCUUUAAGUCUGAUGUGAAAGCCCACGGCUCAACCGUGGAGGGUCAUUGGAAACUGGAGAACUUGAGUACAGAAGAGGAAAGCGGAAUUCCACGUGUAGCGGUGAAAUGCGUAGAGAUGUGGAGGAACACCAGUGGCGAAGGCGGCUUUCUGGUCUGUAACUGACGCUGAGGCGCGAAAGCGUGGGGAGCAAACAGGAUUAGAUACCCUGGUAGUCCACGCGUAAACGAUGAGUGCUAAGUGUUAGGGGGUUUCCGCCCCCUUAGUGCUGCAGCUAACGCAUUAAGCACCCCCGCCUGGGGAUACGGCCGCAAGGCUG
RNAcentral lists this ribosomal RNA (371 nucleotides) under uncultured organism. RNAcentral describes it as "partial 16S ribosomal RNA". It matches the Rfam family "Bacterial small subunit ribosomal RNA", at positions 527 to 896 of the family's 1533-position model. The record is from RNAcentral.